UGCAUCGAACGCCGUAGCAAUACGGAGUGGCAGACGGGUGAGUAACGCGUGGGAACAUACCCCUCGGUUCGGAAUAACUCAGGGAAACUUGAGCUAAUACCGGAUACGUCCGAGGUUUUGAUCGACCUUGGAGAAAGAUUUAUCGCCGGGGGAUUGGCCCGCGUCUGAUUAGCUUGUUGGUGGGGUAAUGGCUCACCAAGGCGACGAUCAGUAGCUGGUCUGAGAGGAUGAUCAGCCACAUUGGGACUGAGACACGGCCCAAACUCCUACGGGAGGCAGCAGUGGGGAAUAUUGGACAAUGGGCGAAAGCCUGAUCCAGCCAUGCCGCGUGAGUGAUGAAGGCCUUAGGGUUGUAAAGCUCUUUUACCCGGGAAGAUAAUGACGGUACCGGGAGAAUAAGCCCCGGCUAACUUCGUGCCAGCAGCCGCGGUAAUACGAAGGGGGCUAGCGUUGUUCGGAAUUACUGGGCGUAAAGCGCACGUAGGCGGAUCUUUAAGUCAGGGGUGAAAUCCCGAGGCUCAACCUCGGAACUGCCUUUGAUACUGGGGAUAUCGAGUCCGGGAGAGGUGAGUGGAACUGCGAGUGUAGAGGUGAAAUUCGUAGAUAUUCGCAAGAACACCAGUGGCGAAGGCGGCUCACUGGCCCGGUACUGACGCUGAGUGCGAAAGCGUGGGGAGCAAACAGGAUUAGAUACCCUGUAGUCCACGCCGUAAACGAUGGAUGCUAGCCGUUAGACAGCUUGCUGUUUAGAGGCGCAGUUAACGCGUUAAGCAUCCCGCCUGGGGGAGUACGCGCAAGAUAAAACUCAAGGAUUGACGGGGGCCCGCACAAGCGGUGGACAUGG
This 844-nucleotide ribosomal RNA is filed under the name uncultured Beijerinckiaceae bacterium. RNAcentral describes it as "bacterial SSU rRNA". It matches the Rfam family "Bacterial small subunit ribosomal RNA", at positions 56 to 941 of the family's 1533-position model. The record is from RNAcentral. Lineage: Bacteria; Pseudomonadati; Pseudomonadota; Alphaproteobacteria; Hyphomicrobiales; Beijerinckiaceae.